GGCGGCGCUGUACGGGAGCACGGGGGUGCUUGGGUAUGUCGUGGCGGCAGCGCCGGCGGAGGCCGCGCGCGCGUCGGAGACGGAUGGGGCCACGCCGCUGCACAUGGCGGCUGCCGGUGGCGCGGCGAACGCGGUCGCGGCCACGCGCCUGUUGCUCGCCGCGGGGGCGUCGGUCGACGCGCUCUCGGCUUCGGGGCUCCGCGCCGGUGACCUCCUCCCGCGCGCCACCGCGGCGGAGAAGGCCAUCCGGCUGCUGCUCAAGUCGCCGGCCGUGUCGCCGUCGUCGUCGCCGAAGAAGUCGGCCUCGCCGCCGUCGCCGCCGCCGCCGCAGGAGGCGAAGAAGGAGUACCCGCCUGACCUGACGCUGCCCGACCUCAAGAGCGGACUGUUCAGCACCGACGAGUUCCGCAUGUACAGCUUCAAGGUGAAGCCGUGCUCCCGCGCCUACUCCCAUGACUGGACCGAGUGCCCCUUCGUCCACCCCGGCGAGAACGCGCGCCGCCGCGACCCUCGCCGCUACUCCUACAGCUGCGUGCCUUGCCCGGAGUUCCGCAAGGGCGGCUCGUGCCGCAAGGGCGACGCGUGCGAGUACGCCCAUGGCGUGUUCGAGUGCUGGCUCCACCCGGCGCAGUACAGGACGCGCCUCUGCAAGGACGAGGUCGGCUGCGCGCGCCGCAUCUGCUUCUUCGCCCACAAGCCCGACGAGCUCCGCGCCGUCAACCCCUCCGCCGUGUCCGUCGGCAUGCAGCCCACCGUAUCGUCGCCGCGCUCCUCGCCGCCCAACGGGCUCGACAUGGCGGCGGCGGCGGCGGCGAUGAUGAGCCCCGCCUGGCCGUCGUCCCCAGCGAGCCGCCUCAAGACGGCGCUCGGCGCGCGGGAGCUCGACUUCGACCUCGAGAUGCUCGCGCUGGACCAGUACCAGCAGAAGCUGUUCGACAAGGUGUCCGGCGCGCCGUCGCCGAGGGCGAGCUGGGGCGCCGCGGCGAACGGCCUCGCCACCGCGUCGCCGGCGAGGGCCGUGCCGGACUACACCGACCUGCUCGGCUCCGUCGACCCGGCCAUGCUGUCCCAGCUCCACGCGCUGUCCCUCAAGCAGGCCGGCGACAUGCCCGCGUACAGCUCCAUGGCGGACACCACGCAGAUGCACAUGCCGACCUCGCCGAUGGUGGGCGGCGCGAACACCGCGUUCGGGCUGGACCACUCCAUGGCGAAGGCGAUCAUGAGCUCCCGCGCCUCGGCGUUCGCCAAGCGCAGCCAGAGCUUCAUCGACCGCGGAGGCCGCGCCCCGGCGGCGCGUUCGCUCAUGUCGCC
Molecule: long non-coding RNA, 1311 nt
Filed under: Oryza sativa (Asian cultivated rice)
Lineage: Eukaryota; Viridiplantae; Streptophyta; Magnoliopsida; Poales; Poaceae
Description: long non-coding RNA (OSAT_LNC000909)
Source: RNAcentral